GUAGGUGGCAAGCGUUGUCCGGGAAUUAUUGGGCGUAAAGCGCGCGCAGGUGGUUCCUUAAGGUCUGAUGUGAAAGCCCCCGGGCUCAACCGGGGGAGGGUCAUUGGAAACUGGGGAACUUGAGUGCAGGAGAGGAAAGUGGAAUUCCACGUGUAGCGGUGAAAUGCGUAGAUAUGUGGAGGAACACCAGUGGCGAAGGCGACUUUCUGGCCUGUAACUGACACUGAGGCGCGAAAGCGUGGGGAGCAAACAGGAUUAGAUACCCUGGUAGUCCACGCCGUAAACGAUGAGUGCUAAGUGUUGGGGGGUUUCCGCCCCUCAGUGCUGCAGCUAACGCAUUAAGCACUCCGCCUGGGGAGUACGGUCGCAAAGACUGA
RNAcentral lists this ribosomal RNA (377 nucleotides) under uncultured organism. RNAcentral's name for it is "partial 16S ribosomal RNA". It matches the Rfam family "Bacterial small subunit ribosomal RNA", at positions 527 to 897 of the family's 1533-position model. The record is from RNAcentral.